CAUAAAACCAAAAUGUUUAAAAAUCACUAUCUUACACAAGCACCGUACAAAGAUUAAAAUCAGGAAGUCAACACUAUCUGUGGGACAGACCUCAUUCUGAUUUCACUAGGUGUUCCCCAAAUCUCCUUAACAGCAACUAAACACCCGGAACAAGAAGUGGGGAGCCGCAGUUGCAUGGGAUGACCAAAGUUUCAGUUUCAAAAGAUGGGAAAGUUCUGGAUGCUGGUGGUGGAAGCAAACGAAGCGACUGUCCUUAAUGCCAGUGAACCAGAUGCUUCAAAAUGCCCCAUGGACUGCCAAGCUCCUCUGUCCAUGGGAUUUUCCAGCGUCUAUCACUCCUACUGGGUCCUAACAAGAAGGCAGAGCAUAUUUUUAGACCGAAGCAGCAGGCAGCAGAGGAUCAGUCCCCGGAAGAGGAAGCAGAAGCCUGGGGCAUGUCCCCUCCCUGCUGCGGCCUUGGGACGGGACUCGGCACAGUCUGCCUGCUGGGCAUUUGCAGGAGCAGGGCUGCGGGACUUUCAGCCGACCAGCCUUAGCCUGGAAGGUUCCAGCCCAAAGAAGCAGCCGAUUUCCCCCAGGGCGCAGACCAGGGAGGCUGGUCCCCAACGCCUUUCCAAAGCAGAGCACGAGAUGCU
This is a long non-coding RNA of Bos taurus (domestic cattle), 635 nucleotides long. NCBI's taxonomy places the organism in Eukaryota, Metazoa, Chordata, Mammalia, Artiodactyla, Bovidae. The record is from Ensembl.